Parelaphostrongylus tenuis is the source of this 74-nucleotide non-coding RNA. Lineage: Eukaryota; Metazoa; Nematoda; Chromadorea; Rhabditida; Metastrongylidae. The record is from the annotation of a GenBank genome assembly.
GCGUCCGGUGGUGCAACGGUUAGCAUUCGCUCCGGGAAAGAGUGAGAUCUGGGUUCAAAUCCCGGCUGACCGCA